RNAcentral lists this ribosomal RNA (231 nucleotides) under uncultured Micromonas. RNAcentral's name for it is "partial Bacterial small subunit ribosomal RNA". It matches the Rfam family "Bacterial small subunit ribosomal RNA", at positions 810 to 1038 of the family's 1533-position model. Lineage: Eukaryota; Viridiplantae; Chlorophyta; Mamiellophyceae; Mamiellales. The record is from RNAcentral.
UGGGCGCUAGAUGUAGGGACCUUUCCACGGUUUCUGUGUCGUAGCUAACGCAUUAAGCGCCCCGCCUGGGGAGUACGGCCGCAAGGUUAAAACUCAAAUGAAUUGACGGGGGCCCGCACAAGCGGUGGAGCAUGUGGUUUAAUUCGAUGCAACGCGAAGAACCUUACCUGGUCUUGACAUAGUAAGAACUUUCCAGAGAUGGAUUGGUGCCUUCGGGAACUGUGAGACAGG